Molecule: transfer RNA, 73 nt
Filed under: Paramuricea clavata
Lineage: Eukaryota; Metazoa; Cnidaria; Anthozoa; Malacalcyonacea; Plexauridae
Rfam family: tRNA
About the family: Transfer RNA (tRNA) molecules are approximately 80 nucleotides in length.
Source: Rfam by way of RNAcentral
GACCUCGUAGCUCAAUUGGUAGAGCAUUGGGCUAGUAUCCCAAAGGUCGCGGGUUCAAUUCCCACCGUGGCCA